This 72-nucleotide non-coding RNA is filed under the name Duganella sp. Leaf126. RNAcentral describes it as "Fluoride riboswitch aptamer (crcB RNA motif)". It matches the Rfam family "Fluoride riboswitch aptamer (crcB RNA motif)". RNAcentral also lists the same sequence under 1 other name. Lineage: Bacteria; Pseudomonadati; Pseudomonadota; Betaproteobacteria; Burkholderiales; Oxalobacteraceae. The record is from Rfam by way of RNAcentral.
CUGAGCAUGGGAGAUGGCAUUCCUCCUGCAACUAUCCCAACCGCCGCUCCGGCUGAUGAUGCCUGCUGAUUC